This 433-nucleotide ribosomal RNA is filed under the name uncultured bacterium. RNAcentral's name for it is "partial 16S ribosomal RNA". It matches the Rfam family "Bacterial small subunit ribosomal RNA", at positions 29 to 507 of the family's 1533-position model. The record is from RNAcentral.
AACGAACGCUGGCGGCAUGCCUAACACAUGCAAGUCGAACGAGACCUUCGGGUCUAGUGGCGCACGGGUGCGUAACGCGUGGGAAUCUGCCCUUGGGUUCGGAAUAACAGUGAGAAAUUACUGCUAAUACCGGAUGAUGUCUUCGGACCAAAGAUUUAUCGCCCAGGGAUGAGCCCGCGUAGGAUUAGCUAGUUGGUGGGGUAAUGGCCUACCAAGGCGACGAUCCUUAGCUGGUCUGAGAGGAUGAUCAGCCACACGGGGACUGAGACACGGCCCAGACUCCUACGGGAAGCAGCAGUGGGGAAUAUUGGACAAUGGGCGCAAGCCUGAUCCAGCAAUGCCGCGUGAGUGAUGAAGGCCUUAGGGUUGUAAAGCUCUUUUACCCGGGAUGAUAAUGACAGUACCGGGAGAAUAAGCUCCGGCUAACUCCGUG